Molecule: long non-coding RNA, 1805 nt
Organism: Gopherus evgoodei (Goodes thornscrub tortoise)
Lineage: Eukaryota; Metazoa; Chordata; Testudines; Testudinidae
Exons: 3
Source: RefSeq, a predicted model, not a curated record
CACAGUGUUUGAAACAGGACAAUCCAAUGUCAGGACGAGGACAGCACACCGUGACGGAGAGCAAUUGCAGUCUGCAGAGAAGCACAGGACUUUCAGUAAUAGAGGGAAUGGGGGAAAGACGUAAAGAUGUCCUUCUCCCAAGGAAUGAGAAGAGCAUCUCCCAUGGAGUGUCAUCCAACCCUUGCCCUGGAGCAGUACCGUGGACAUAUCUUGUUCUGGAUAGUCCUGAGGACUGAAGCCAGGAGCUCCGCCUCAUGACCACUGCUGAGGCCAUGAAUCAGGUUGCCAAGUCUGCCAUGUCCAAUGCAGUUUGGAGGGAUGCUUUGACCACCACCUUACCCUCCUCUACGAGGGCCAAGAAUUUAGUCCUGGAGUCCAAAGGUAACAGUUCCUUAAAUUUUGUCAUGGCCAACCACACAUUAAAAUCAUAGUGGCCCAAGAGGGCUUGAUAAUUGGCUAUUUUCAGCUGGAGGCCCCGUGUUGAGUAUACCUUCCUGCCCAGUAAGUUCAGUUUCAUGGCCCCUUUCACCUUGGACAAUGGCCCUUAUUGCCCCUGUUUCUCCUUUUCAUUAGCUGCCAGGACAACCAGCAAGCCCAGUGGAGGGUUAGUAUCCUCAUAUCCCAUGGGGGGCACAAAAUAUUUCCUUUCCAUCCACUUAGCUGUGGGGUGGAGGGAAGCAGGAGUCUGCCACAGAGUCUUUACAGGCUGCAAGAUGGCAUCAUUUAAAGGGAGGGCCACCCUUGACAAACCCAAGGGCACUAGUAUGUCCAUCAGGGCAUGGGCUGACUCAAGAGAUUUCCUCAGCCUGUAUUCCCAAGUUCUGGGUGACACCAUGCAGAAGCUCUUGAUGAGCCCUAUAGUCAUCUUGCGUGGGCACCAUGGUCAUCCCUGCCACUGCCUCAUAUGGGUAGAAGGACAAUGAAGUUUGUACCAGAACCGGGCCUUGUACCUCCUCUGUUGCCCUGUGUCCCGGUGCCAACCUCAGCAUGAGGGAUCAAACCCCUUUCAGAUGGGGAAGGCAGAGGCACUCUCACCUCCAAGCAUCCGGAGUGGAAACCUUGGAACAGAUGGAUCACCCAAGGGUACCAGAUUGGCAUUUACCAUUGUGUCGAUGACUACGCUAUCAGUAUGUGUCCUUGUGCCAUAGCUGCCAGGUGUCUAUGGUCAGCUUGGUACCUGCUCCUCCAGGAGGUGUACGAGUCUGCCUCCAAUUUAGAGCCCAAGGACCCACUCCUGGGUGAUCACGGUGGCGUGAUGCUGUGAUGGGGAUUGGUGCCAUGAUGGAGAGCAGUGCUGCGAUAAAGACCAGUGCAGUGAGGGAGAGCUCAAUGGAUGGUGGUGCCACGCCAUCAUUGCCGGCUUGCCCUCUACUGGCACCUGCUUCGAUGCUGAAGCAUCCCAUGGUGCUGGAGCUGUCAUCAACAGUCCACAACCUGAGGGGGAUGGUGGUACUGGGAGAGCAAAGAGGCUCCUGGCCACCUCAAAAGCCUCCAGCGUCAAUUGUAAAGCCUAGGCUGUAUCCCACUGAUGGCUCUGUCUAGGCAGAGAGUCCACCAGUAUUAAACUUGGUGGUCCCCUUCCCAUGGCCAGAGUCAGUGGUGCUGCAUGGUCCAUAGGCACCUCAGAGUGACCUGCCACAGGUCGCACUCUUUCUGUGGCCUUAUGUCCUGGGGUCAGAGAGAGCUCCUGGUCUGACUUCUUCUGUCUCUUUUUCAGCACUGGCAAUGGGGAGCAGUGCCGGGAGGCUGGAGUUGGUGCUGACUUCCUGCACACCAGAGAACCAUGGCGGUACUGGGGAGCAGAG